AAUCAACGCUGGCGGCGUGCCUAACACAUGCAAGUCGAACGCGAAAGUGGAGCAAUCCAUGAGUAGAGUGGCGAACGGGUGAGUAACACGUGGGUGACCUACCUUCGAAUGGGGGAGUAACGUCCCGAAAGGGACGCUAAUACCGCAUAACAUCCUGCCUUUGAACAGGUGGAGAUCAAAGCCGGGGAGUCGCAAGACCUGGCGUUUGAAGAGGGGCCCGCGUCUGAUAGCUAGUUGGUGAGGUAACGGCUCACCAAGGCGACGAUCAGUAUCCGGCCUGAGAGGGCGGACGGACACACUGGGACUGAGACACGGCCCAGACUCCUACGGGAGGCAGCAGUGGGGAAUUGUUCGCAAUGGGCGCAAGCCUGACGACGCAACGCCGCGUGGAGGAU
This 395-nucleotide ribosomal RNA is filed under the name uncultured bacterium. Its description in RNAcentral is "bacterial SSU rRNA". It matches the Rfam family "Bacterial small subunit ribosomal RNA", at positions 29 to 409 of the family's 1533-position model. The record is from RNAcentral.